RNAcentral lists this ribosomal RNA (422 nucleotides) under Micrococcus sp. oral taxon F54. Its description in RNAcentral is "bacterial SSU rRNA". It matches the Rfam family "Bacterial small subunit ribosomal RNA", at positions 28 to 449 of the family's 1533-position model. The record is from RNAcentral. Lineage: Bacteria; Bacillati; Actinomycetota; Actinomycetes; Micrococcales; Micrococcaceae.
GAUGAACGCUGGCGGCGUGCUUAACACAUGCAAGUCGAACGAUGAAGCCCAGCUUGCUGGGUGGAUUAGUGGCGAACGGGUGAGUAACACGUGAGUAACCUGCCCUUGACUCUGGGAUAAGCCCGGGAAACUGGGUCUAAUACCGGAUAGGAGCGCCUGUCGCAUGACGGGUGUUGGAAAGAUUUUUCGGUCAUGGAUGGACUCGCGGCCUAUCAGCUUGUUGGUGAGGUAAUGGCUCACCAAGGCGACGACGGGUAGCCGGCCUGAGAGGGUGACCGGCCACACUGGGACUGAGACACGGCCCAGACUCCUACGGGAGGCAGUAGUGGGGAAUAUUGCACAAUGGGCGGAAGCCUGAUGCAGCGACGCCGCGUGAGGGAUGACGGCCUUCGGGUUGUAAACCUUCUUUCAGUAGGGAAGAA